RNAcentral lists this transfer RNA (82 nucleotides) under Deferribacter autotrophicus. Its description in RNAcentral is "tRNA-Leu". It matches the Rfam family "tRNA". From Rfam's summary of the family: Transfer RNA (tRNA) molecules are approximately 80 nucleotides in length. Their secondary structure includes four short double-helical elements and three loops (D, anti-codon, and T loops). Further hydrogen bonds mediate the characteristic L-shaped molecular structure. tRNAs have two regions of fundamental functional importance: the anti-codon, which is responsible for specific mRNA codon recognition, and the 3' end, to which the tRNAs corresponding amino acid is attached (by aminoacyl-tRNA synthetases). tRNAs cope with the degeneracy of the genetic code in two manners: having more than one tRNA (with a specific anti-codon) for a particular amino acid; and 'wobble' base-pairing, i.e. permitting non-standard base-pairing at the 3rd anti-codon position. Lineage: Bacteria; Pseudomonadati; Deferribacterota; Deferribacteres; Deferribacterales; Deferribacteraceae. The record is from RNAcentral.
GCGAGUGUGGCGGAACUGGUAGACGCGCUAGACUUAGGAUCUAGUGCCACCCGGCGUGGGGGUUCGAGUCCCUCCACUCGCA